AUGAUCAAUUCGACGGUAAGCCCCUCUCCCCACAGCCCAUCCCUAACCCUAACCCCAGCCCAAAUCCUAACUCCGCCGCCUCCCGCCCCAGAACCAGACCGUGGCACGGUGCUGAACUACAUUUUCCAGGCGGCCUCCGACGAUGAGCUCUCCAUCUUCAAGGAGCUGGUCACGAUAAUACUGGACAAUGGCAGGGGCCGCCCCAAGGAAGCGAUUGAGGAAUUGAGGGUGGAAGAUGUCGGGCAGCUUGAAGGUUUCAGUGCGCUGCACAUCGCGGCCAGUAAAGGGAGUCUGGAGGUGUGCAGGUACCUCGUCGAGGAGCUGCUGGUAGAUGUGGAUCUGGUCGACAAGGAAGGUAGAACACCUCUGUUGUUUGCAACAUACCACAAUGGGGGUACUGCCGAAUAUCUUCUUGAUCAUGGCGCUAAUCAAGACAAAGCUGAUCACGAUGGGUCUACCCUGUUACAUUAUGCCGCUGAAUUAGGCAAUUGUGAAAUGGUAGAGCUUUUGCUUGCAAAAGGAGCUUAUGUUGAGCCGGUAUCUGCUUGUGGAACACCACUUCAUGUUGCUGCUGGUAAAGGGCAUUAUGGUGCUAUGAAGAUUUUACUGGACCACAAUGCAGAUUACAACAAGAUGGUAAAUGGCGUGACACCUCUUAUUGUUGCUACAGAUGCCAAGUCAAUGAAAUGUAUCAAGCUCCUAGUUAAGGCUGGUGCCAAUCUCAAGGAAGCUGCAGCAUAUACAACUCUCCACGCGGAAAAAGUGGUUUCAGAUUACUUUCUCAAUUGCAUAAUGGAGGACGUUGAUGCCAACCGUGAUGUUCCUUUUGAUGGGCCUAUGCUUAAACGGGAAAUCGUGACAUCAGGGCUUAUAUCACGAGGGAGCAACUCUUUAAAGAACAAGGAUUAUGUUGUCGCAGCAAAAUUGUACAGUAAGGCAAUGGUGCUUGAUCCUGAUGAUGCAGUCUUGUUCUCAGACAGGAGCCUUUGUUGGCUUCAACUGGGUGAUGGAAAAAAGGCUUUGCUAGAUGCUAAUAGAUGCAGAAAAAUGCGGCCUCACUGGCCAAAAGCUUGUCACCGGCAGGGUGAAGCUCUGAUGCUACUGAAGGACUAUGAGGGCGCAAGUGAACGGUUCUGGGAUGGACUCAAGUUGGACCCAGUGGACACUGAUAUCGAGGAUGCAUUACGGGAAGCUAUGAAGUCCUUGAAGACGUCUCGGUCUCGGAGCAUGAGAGCCAAUUGA
Molecule: ribosomal RNA, 1242 nt
Filed under: Triticum aestivum (bread wheat)
Lineage: Eukaryota; Viridiplantae; Streptophyta; Magnoliopsida; Poales; Poaceae
Description: partial small subunit ribosomal RNA
Source: RNAcentral